This 166-nucleotide ribosomal RNA is filed under the name uncultured bacterium. Its description in RNAcentral is "partial 16S rRNA". It matches the Rfam family "Bacterial small subunit ribosomal RNA", at positions 355 to 511 of the family's 1533-position model. The record is from RNAcentral.
UAGGGAAUCUUCGGCAAUGGGGGGCAACCCUGACCGAGCAACGCCGCGUGAGUGAAGAAGGUUUUCGGANCGUAAAGCUCUGUUGUAAGAGAAGAACGUGUGUGAGAGUGGAAAGUUCACACAGUGACGGUAACUUACCAGAAAGGGACGGCUAACUACGUGCCUG